CUAGUAUUGAGGUAUGAUGGUGAAAGUUGAUAGAAGGUGGAAUAGGUUGAUGCAUGUUCACUCAGAAGAAGACAUUUUUUUAUUUCUCAUUUUUUGAAAUCAAUUUUGAAAUUAGAAUUGUGAGAGUGAGUUGAUUGGGUGUCAUUGAGCUUCCCAUUUCCAAUUCCACACUUAAGUUUAAAUAGUAAUCACUAGGGUUGCAAAAUUUAUUUAAUU
RNAcentral lists this long non-coding RNA (216 nucleotides) under Lathyrus oleraceus (garden pea). RNAcentral describes it as "Pisum sativum (pea) long non-coding RNA (PSAT_LNC015024)". The record is from RNAcentral. Lineage: Eukaryota; Viridiplantae; Streptophyta; Magnoliopsida; Fabales; Fabaceae.